This 253-nucleotide ribosomal RNA is filed under the name uncultured bacterium. Its description in RNAcentral is "partial 16S ribosomal RNA". It matches the Rfam family "Bacterial small subunit ribosomal RNA", at positions 524 to 776 of the family's 1533-position model. The record is from RNAcentral.
GCCAGAGGGGGCGAGCGUUGUCCGGAGUCACUGGGCGUAAAGCGCGCGCAGGCGGCAACCUUAGUGUCGUGUGAAAGCCCCCGGCUCAACCGGGGGAGGCCAUGGCAAACUGGGUCGCUCGAGCUGCGGAGAGGCCCCUCGAAUUGCCGGUGUAGCGGUGAAAUGCGUAGAGAUCGGCAGGAAGACCAAGGGGGAAGCCAGGGGGCUGGCCGCAGGCUGACGCUGAGGCGCGAAAGCGUGGGGAGAAAACAGG